UGGGGGAUAUUGCACAAUGGGGGAAACCCUGAUGCAGCGACGCCGCGUGGGUGAAGGAACACUUCGGUGCGUAAAGCCCUAUCGGCAGGGAAGAAAAGGGGGAAACCCCAGACGGUACCUGACUAAGAAGCCCCGGCUAACUACGUGCC
This 149-nucleotide ribosomal RNA is filed under the name uncultured bacterium. RNAcentral's name for it is "partial 16S ribosomal RNA". It matches the Rfam family "Bacterial small subunit ribosomal RNA", at positions 355 to 509 of the family's 1533-position model. The record is from RNAcentral.